ACUCCUACGGGAGGCAGCAGUGAGGAAUAUUGGUCAAUGGACGCAAGUCUGAACCAGCCAUGCCGCGUGCAGGAUGACGGCCCUAUGGGUUGUAAACUGCUUUUAUACGGGAAUAAACCCCUUUACGUGUAGAGGGCUGAAGGUACCGUAAGAAUAAGGAUCGGCUAACUCCGUGCCAGCAGCCGCGGUAAUACGGAGGAUCCAAGCGUUAUCCGGAUUUAUUGGGUUUAAAGGGUCCGUAGGCGGGAUACUAAGUCAGUGGUGAAAGCCUGCAGCUUAACUGUAGCACUGCCAUUGAUACUGGUAUUCUUGAGUAUAGUUGAAGUGGGCGGAAUAAGUCAUGUAGCGGUGAAAUGCAUAGAUAUGACUUAGAACACCUAUUGCGAAGGCAGCUCACUAAGCUAUUACUGACGCUCAGGGGACGAAAGCGUGGGUAGCAAACAGGAUUAGAUACCCUGGUAGGCUCUG
This 468-nucleotide ribosomal RNA is filed under the name uncultured bacterium. RNAcentral's name for it is "bacterial SSU rRNA". It matches the Rfam family "Bacterial small subunit ribosomal RNA", at positions 335 to 799 of the family's 1533-position model. The record is from RNAcentral.